CUGGCUCGAUACUGACACUGAGUGCGAAAGCGUGGGGAGCAAACGGGAUUAGAUACCCCGGUAGUCCACGCCGUAAACGAUGUCUACUAGCCGUUGGAGGACUUGAUCCUUUAGUGGCGCAGCUAACGCGAUAAGUAGACCGCCUGGGGAGUACGGUCGCAAGAUUAAAACUCAAAUGAAUUGACGGGGGCCCGCACAAGCGGUGGAGCAUGUGGUUUAAUUCGAAGCAACGCGAAGAACCUUACCUACUCUUGACAUCCAGUGAACUUUUGAGAGAUCAAUUGGUGCCUUCGGGAACACUGAGACAGGUGCUGCAUGGCUGUCGUCAGCUCGUGUUGUGAAAUGUUGGGUUAAGUCCCGUAACGAGCGCAACCCUUGUCCUUAGUUACCAUCAUUAAGUUGGGGACUCUAAGGAGACUGCCGGUGACAAACCGGAGGAAGGCGGGGACGACGUCAAGUCAUCAUGGCCCUUACGAGUAGGGCUACACACGUGCUACAAUGGCAUGUACAAAGGGUUGCCAAGCCGCGAGGUGGAGCUAAUCCCAUAAAGCAUGUCGUAGUCCGGAUUGGAGUCUGCAACUCGACUCCAUGAAGUCGGAAUCGCUAGUAAUCGUGAAUCAGAAUGUCACGGUGAAUACGUUCCCGGGCCUUGUACACACCGCCCGUCACACCAUGGGAGUGGGUUGCUCCAGAAGUAGAUAGCUUAACCUUCGGGAGGGCGUUUACCACGGAGCGAUUCAUGACUGGGGUGAAGUCGUAACAAGGUAACCGUA
Molecule: ribosomal RNA, 773 nt
Filed under: uncultured bacterium
Lineage: Bacteria
Description: bacterial SSU rRNA
Rfam family: Bacterial small subunit ribosomal RNA
Source: RNAcentral